GACGAACGCUGGCGGCGUGCUUAACACAUGCAAGUCGAACGGAAAGGCCCUGCUUUUGUGGGGUGCUCGAGUGGCGAACGGGUGAGUAACACGUGAGUAACCUGCCCUUGACUUUGGGAUAACUUCAGGAAACUGGGGCUAAUACCGGAUAAGAGCUCCUGCUGCAUGGUGGGGGUUGGAAAGUUUCGGCGGUUGGGGAUGGACUCGCGGCUUAUCAGCUUGUUGGUGGGGUAGUGGCUUACCAAGGCUUUGACGGGUAGCCGGCCUGAGAGGGUGACCGGCCACAUUGGGACUGAGAUACGGCCCAGACUCCUACGGGAGGCAGCAGUGGGGAAUAUUGCACAAUGGGCGGAAGCCUGAUGCAGCAACGCCGCGUGCGGGAUGACGGCCUUCGGGUUGUAAACCGCUUUCGCCUGUGACGAAGCGUGAGUGACGGGAAUGGGUAAAGAAGCACCGGCUAACUACGU
RNAcentral lists this ribosomal RNA (467 nucleotides) under uncultured bacterium. Its description in RNAcentral is "partial 16S ribosomal RNA". It matches the Rfam family "Bacterial small subunit ribosomal RNA", at positions 28 to 506 of the family's 1533-position model. The record is from RNAcentral.